UACAGGGGGUGCAACCGUUGCUCGGAAUUAUUGGGCGUAAAGCGCGCGUAGGCGGCUACCUAAGUCGGAUGUGAAAGCCCCUGGCUUAACUGGGGAAGUGCACCCGAAACUGAGUAGCUAGAGUGCGAAAGAGGGUCGCGGAAUUCCCGGUGUAGAGGUGAAAUUCGUAGAUAUCGGGAGGAACACCGGUGGCGAAGGCGGCGACCUGGGUCGACACUGACGCUGAGGCGCGAAAGCGUGGGGAGCGAACGGG
RNAcentral lists this ribosomal RNA (253 nucleotides) under uncultured bacterium. RNAcentral describes it as "partial 16S ribosomal RNA". It matches the Rfam family "Bacterial small subunit ribosomal RNA", at positions 524 to 776 of the family's 1533-position model. The record is from RNAcentral.